UUUAUUUUAUGUAUUCAUGAGAGACACACAGAGAGAGGCAGAGACAGAGGCAGAGGGAGAAGCUGGCUCCCUGCAGGAGACCAUUGUGGAACUCGGUCCCGGGACUCCAGGAUCAUACCCUGAGUCGAAGGCAGACACCCAACCACUGAGCCACCCAGGCAUCCCAAGUAAUACAUUUGAGUUUAUGAUGAUGAGGUGACUCAACGGGGAGCCCCUAGAAAACCUCCUGAUGCGACUGGUCACUUUCAGCUUCUCCUAUCUCUGGGAAACAGAGGAGGGCUGGAGACAUAUUGUGAAGGGCCCACCAGAUAUCAUGUACUGUGUUAGGAACUGAGAUGCAGCAAAUAAAGGACAUCAUAAGGAACCGAAGGAAGGGGAUAGAUACAGACAUCGAUCAAGUUCAUGGAAUGUAACAAAGGAAAAGUUCAGGAGUAUAUAUCUAACCUAGUUAGA
Nyctereutes procyonoides (raccoon dog) is the source of this 453-nucleotide long non-coding RNA. RefSeq lists it as uncharacterized. The record is from RefSeq and is a predicted model, not a curated record. The transcript is spliced from 3 exons. NCBI's taxonomy places the organism in Eukaryota, Metazoa, Chordata, Mammalia, Carnivora, Canidae.